RNAcentral lists this long non-coding RNA (1123 nucleotides) under Apteryx haastii (Great spotted kiwi). RNAcentral describes it as "lncRNA (ENSAHAG00000001263.1)". The record is from RNAcentral. Lineage: Eukaryota; Metazoa; Chordata; Aves; Apterygiformes; Apterygidae.
GCCAGGUUGGCGAAGCGGCGGGCGCAGGCGGCGCAGGGGAAGACGCCGGUCUGGUGGGUCUUGCGGUGGUUCACCAGGCUGCCGCCGUGCCGGUAGGUCUUGCCGCAGACGGCGCAGGCGUAAGGACGCCGCUCCGGUGCCGGCGACGCCGCAUUGUCCGUGUCAUCCGCGUCCGUGUCCGGGCGGAGGAGCCGGCUGUGCUCCUCCAAGCUGCUCAGGUCGUCGAAGGUGCGUCCGCAGCAGCCGCAGAUGUGCGAGAGCAGCGCGUCCUCCGCGGUGGCCGCGCCGGCGCCUUGACCGUGGCGGUGGCAGCGGUGGUGGCAGCGGUGGUGGCGGUGGCAGUGGCGGCGGCGGUGUCCCCGCAGGUGGCUCUUGAGGGCGCCGGCGUUGGCGAAGCGCUUGGCGCACAGCGAGCAGCCGAAGUCGCCCGUCUGGUGGGUGGCGCGGUGGUUGAUGAGGCUGCCCGAGUGCCGGUAGCUCUUGCCGCACAGCUCGCAGCGGUACAGCCGCUCGUCGUCCCCGUCCCCGCGCUGUGUCACCCCCUGCCGCCGCCGCCGCAGGUGGCCCCGCACGUGGUUGCGCAGCGCCAUGAGGUUGCCCAAGCGCUUGGGGCAGAGGGAGCAGGGGAAGACGCCGGGCCGGUGCGUGUGCCGGUGGUUGGCCAAGCUGCCGCGGUGCCGGUAGCGGCGCCCGCACUCGCCGCAGCCGUAGGGCCGCCGCUGCGCCGCCUCCCGCCCCCCUGCCUCCCCCCCCUCCUCCUCCUCCUCCUCCUCCUCCUCGGCGCGGCGCUGGGGGGCGGCCGGGGGGCGCAGGUGGCCCCGCACAUGGCUCUUGAGGGCGGCCAGGUUGAAGAGCCGCUUGCCGCAGGCGCCGCAGCCGUAGACGCCCGUCUGGUGGCUCUCGCGGUGGUUCACCAGGCUGCCGGCGUGGCGGUAGGUGCGGCCGCACUGGGCGCAGCGGAAGGGCCGGGCUUCGGCCUCCGCCGCCGCCGCCGCCCCCUCCUCCUCCUCCUCCUCUUCGCGCGGCUCUUCUUCAUCCUCCUCCUCGUCGUCAUCGUCGCCAUCGUCGUGGUGCUGCUCGAAGGCGGCCGGAGCCGCCGCCGCCUCGGCCAGGUAGCGCCGCA